UACAGAGGUCUCAAGCGUUGUUCGGAUUCAUUGGGCGUAAAGGGUGCGUAGGCGGCGCGGUAAGUCGGGUGUGAAAUCUCGGAGCUUAACUCCGAACUGUCAGCUGAUACUGUUUUGCUAGAGUGCGGAAGGGGCAAUCGGAAUUCUUGGUGUAGCGGUGAAAUGCGUAGAUAUCAAGAGGAACACCUGAGGUGAAGACGGGUUGCUGGGCCGACACUGACGCUGAGGCGCGAAAGCCAGGGGAGCAAACGGG
RNAcentral lists this ribosomal RNA (253 nucleotides) under uncultured bacterium. RNAcentral describes it as "partial 16S ribosomal RNA". It matches the Rfam family "Bacterial small subunit ribosomal RNA", at positions 524 to 776 of the family's 1533-position model. The record is from RNAcentral.